CGGAUACUUGUCAAUUAUUUUUUAUUUUGUUUUUCUCUGUGUUGGGACGGCGGGACGGGCUGCAAGUGCCGAAACUUUUGAAGGAUUUCAGAGAUAAUUCAUCAUGGGAAACUUUAUGGGAAAGGCACUUGAUGAGAGCUUCAACAAGAACAAGAAAUUCAUGAUAGAGAUGCAGAGCAUUCAGCUGGAGCGUCAGAUCCACAUGCAGGACCAGAUGCGGCAGCGGAUGCAAGCGCUGCAGGUGGCGCGCGCCCGCGAGCUGUUCUACUGGUGGGCCGCCUUCUACACGGUCGGCCUGGUCGGCGCCGUCGCGGUGGCACGGCGGACCGGUCGGCGCACCGCCCUGUUCCCGUUCUUCCCGCUAACGUUCAUCGUCGGAUACCAGGCCGAUCUGGCAUACGGAAACAAACUGGAACGCAUCAGAGCGGAGGCGGAGCACAUUAUGCGCUCGGAGACGGAGCUGCUGGAACCGCCGUGCGGAGUGCCCACCACCUCCGGCAUUGACGCCGCUCGCCACAAGCUCAGCGACGAGCAGAGACUGAACCUCCGGCGGCCGCCCUGCCCUAUCUGCUGCUGACCUGGACUUGUCUCACAUCCUGACCGUCCUCGCGAAAUCCCUACACUUCGCACACCGAGUGGCCGACAAGGGCGAAUACAGUAGAAAGUGGUAUUUCGAAGUCAUUGUCUCUGAAAGCCGCUAUCUCUGAAACUUGAAAGGAGUCGACCUAGGUCCACACUGCACUAGCCGGCGGACUCCUGUCAGCUCGGGGAGGUCAGUUCAGAGCGGUUCCGGACCCCUCAGUGCCUCCAGUGCUGCCUACGAGGCUCUGCCGCCGUCUGAACCUCGGCGACUAAAUGCAAUACGAAUAGCAGGCAAGGUAGUUAACGGUGUCACCGUCGAGAUAAUCACAAACGUAUCUAGCUAGUAUGACGGGCUGUUCAAAGUGCGGGAUUUGCCGUUCGAUUGUGUUCUUUGCAUCUGCGGCCCCUGGCCUUUGGAAAGGAUGGUCACUGCCGAAUUACCUGACCGUUGUGAUGGGCCUGGCUGUUUGAGUGUACGGGAGGCUGAGCUCCUGAUCAGCGCUGGGGGCGCGGUCAAAGGUCGAAUUUGUGUUCUUCUUAGUAAAUGAGUGUAGUGAUUGCCACAAUCAUUACAGUGUCCCGGUGAUUACGAUAUGGGACUGUAUGAUUGUUAUGUGCCUCCAUACAAUACAUGAGUCGCUCUCA
This 1227-nucleotide unclassified non-coding RNA is filed under the name Amphibalanus amphitrite. Its description in RNAcentral is "plasminogen receptor (KT)-like, transcript variant X8". The record is from RNAcentral. Lineage: Eukaryota; Metazoa; Arthropoda; Thecostraca; Balanomorpha; Balanidae.